AACAGUCUCCUUCCACAAAACCAUGGCGUCGCUCAAAUGUAGCACCGUCGUCUGCGUGAUCUGCUUGGAGAAGCCCAAAUACCGCUGUCCAGCCUGCCGCGUGCCCUAAACAGUGCAACCCUGAAACUCGUCCUGUUGAGAAAAAAAUAAGAUCAGCUCUUCCUACCAAAACCGUAAAGCCUGUGGAAAACAAAGAUGAUGAUGACUCUAUAGCUGAUUUUCUCAAUAGUGAUGAGGAAGAAGACAGAGUUUCUUUGCAGAAUUUAAAGAAUUUAGAUGGACUCUCGUCCUGUCACCCAGGCUGGAGUGCAGCGGCGCAAUCUCGGCUCACUGCAACCUCUCCCUCCCAGAUUCAAGCAAUUCUCAUGCCUCAGCCUCCCGAGCAGCUGGGACUACAGGCGCCUGCCACUACGCCCAACCAAUUUUUGUAUUUUUAGUAGAGAUGGGGUUUCGCCAUGUUGGCCAGGCUGGUCUUGAACUCCUGACCUCAGGUGAUACACCCGCCUCGACUUCCCAAAGUACUGGGAUUAUAGGCGUGAGCCACCGCUCCAGGCCCUAAGCUAAACUUUCAUCACCUCCUGCUCCUGACUCAUCUAAAGCCUUGGUUCUCACAGUGUGGUUCAUGGAGCAUCAGAAUCAGCUGGGAGCUUGCUAGAAACGCAGCAUUGCAUUUGGAAAUGGGACUAGAAGAUUUAGAGAUGCUGAAAUAAUUAGAAGCAGUUUUUAAAAAGAUAAAGGGCUCUGGAAGAUUCCCAGUUAUAACAAAAUAAAUAAUCCAAACCUGCAGCUGAUUGGGACAUGCAGCCCUCUGGUUUACCCAGUAGGGUUAGGGAUGGAUCUUGUCCCAGCCUCAGUCUCAUUCCCGCUGUGAACUUGUAGGCUUUGCUCCUGCUGUUCUCAGGAACAAAGCUGUCAUGGCCAUCACACACAACGUACCUGAGGCAGCGCUCGGAUGGACGUGACACCAGCCUGGUCUUGUGCUGUCUGGACAGUGUAGCUACUGGGGCUGCCCCUGGGGAGCUGGAGGCAAGCCCAGACCACUAAUUUCCUCUGAAAGCUGCCUACACCCAUAGCCGUAUUGGCCAGGACCAGUCCCAGGGGCCAGAGGCGGAUUAUUGCCUCCAGGAGCCUGGUCUGCAGCGGCGAGGUGCUCAGGGAACAGGGAGCUUGAGAGAAGUGUUUUUCUUCCACACCAUCCAGCUCUUUAGCAGCAAGGCAGGCCAUUCUGAUCUUAAAAAGCAAAUAUCCCUUUAUAGCUUUAGAUUUAUCUAGCCCUCUUAGCAGAAAAUGGAAAUCAAAACUAUCUUUAACAAAUCAUCUUAACAAGGUGAACUGAAGGCACCUGGUUGCAAACAGCUGGCUGCCCUGAACCAAACUGGUUCCAUAUGCCACAAGUCUAUACACCCCAGGCAACUGUGCUUAGGCCUUACAUAUGCUACUUGAAAACAAGAUAAGAGUCCAUCAAGAUAUAACUGAUAUGCCAUAAAACCCAGUCUUCUAAAGUGUACAUCCCAGAGUUUGGUAUAUUCCCAGAGUUGCUUAUACCACUCUUCACCUACAUAACCACCCUGCAGGGUAGGUGUUACUGUGCCCACUGCAUACAUGAGGAAUAUGAGGCUCAGAGAGGCUAAACAACCUGCCCAAGGCCACCUGCAUUGCAGUGGCAGAGCCAGCAUUCCCACUCGGGUCCAUCUGGUCCCCAAAAUUGAUCCACUGCCCACCCCGACUUCUUGGGUCUUACUUACUCUCCACUUCUGCCAUGCACGCUUGAUGACUGUGGCAGCUGCAUGCAGCCUCUGGAUGUGUUUCCGAGUUAACCAGGAACGAAUGGCUAAGAGGUUUGCCCAGAAACAGGAAAGAGAUAAUAAAGGGGCCAUUAGAGCUGUCAGUGACCUCGCUGCAGCAGCACCACAGUUGCUGUCAAAGUUUCAAAUACGUUUUUUUUUUUUCAAUAAAUUGCUACAAAUAAGGUUCUAAAAUC
Molecule: unclassified non-coding RNA, 1981 nt
Filed under: Homo sapiens (human)
Lineage: Eukaryota; Metazoa; Chordata; Mammalia; Primates; Hominidae
Description: zinc finger HIT-type containing 3 (ENSG00000278574.4)
Source: RNAcentral